RNAcentral lists this ribosomal RNA (540 nucleotides) under uncultured bacterium. RNAcentral's name for it is "bacterial SSU rRNA". It matches the Rfam family "Bacterial small subunit ribosomal RNA", at positions 778 to 1319 of the family's 1533-position model. The record is from RNAcentral.
AUAGAUACCCCGGUAGUCCACGCCGUAAACGUUGGAUACUAGGUGUGGCGGUUAUACCAAUGACUGCCGUGCCGAAGCUAACGCAUUAAGUAUCCCGCCUGGGGAGUACGGCCGCAAGGCUAAAACUCAAAGGAAUUGACGGGUCCCCGCACAAGCGGCGGAGCAUGCGGCUUAAUUCGAUGCAACCCGAAGAACCUUACCUGGGUUUGACAUCACGGGAAAAGCUGUAGAAAUACAGUGUCCAUUAGGGCCCGUGACAGGUGGUGCAUGGCUGUCGUCAGCUCGUGUCGUGAGAUGUUGGGUUAAGUCCCGCAACGAGCGCAACCCUUGUCCUAUGUUGCUAGCGGUUCGGCCGGGGACUCAUAGGAGACUGCCGGGGAUAACUCGGAGGAAGGUGAGGACGACGUCAAGUCAUCAUGCCCCUUAUAUCCAGGGCUGCACGCAUGCUACAAUGGCCGGUACAACGGGCAGCGACCCCGCGAGGGUGAGCGAAUCCUAAAAGCCGGUCCUAGUUCGGAUUGAAGUCUGCAACUCGACUUC